GUUGAUCCUGCGGGAGGUUGCUGCUAGGGGGAUUCGACUAAGCCAUGCAAGUUUUCUCGCAAGAGAGGCGAAAUGCUCAGUAACACGUCGUUAACAUGCCCUUUGGUCAGGGAUAAGCACGGGAAACUGUGUGUAACACCUGAUACGAGAACCAAUCUGCAAUGAUGGUUCUUGCGAAACUCGUGCCAAAGGAUUGGACGGCGGCGGAUUAGGCUGUUGGCGGUGUAACGGACCACCAAACCUACAAUCCGUACGGGCCUUGAGAGAGGUAGCCCGGAGAGGGACACUGAGAUACUGGUCCCAGCCCUACGGGGUGCAGCAGGCGCGAAACCUUUACAAUGCACGCAAGUGUGAUAAGGGGAUCCCCCGUGCUCAUGCACAGCAUGAGCUUUUGCUAAGUGUAAAUAGCUUGGCGAAUAAGUGGUGGGUAAGACUGGUCCAGCCGCCGCGGUAACACCAGCGCCACGAGUGGCAACCGCGAUUAUUGGGCCUAAAGCGUCCGUAGCCGGUUUGGUAAAUCCUUUGUGAAAUUGUGCAGCUCAACUGUACAACGUGCAAGGGAGACUGCCAAGCUCGAGACCGGGAGGAGUCAGAAGUAUUCCAGGGGGAGCGGUAAAAUGUUAUAAUCCCUGGAGGACUACCUGUGGCGAAGGCGUCUGACUAGAACGGAUCUGACGGUGAGGGACGAAAGCCAGGGGAGCGAACCGGAUUAGAUACCCGAGUAGUCCUGGCCGUAAACGCUGUGAGCUAGGUGUUGCAUCAAUUACAUGUUGAUGCAGUGUCGAAACGAAGAUGUUAAGCUCACCGCCUGGGAAGUACGGUCGCAAGACUGAAACUUUAAGGAAUUGGCGGGGGAGCACCACAAGGGGUGCGGCGUGCGGUUUAAUCUAACUCAACGCAGAGAACCUUACUAGAAGCGACGGCAGGAUGAAGGCCAACUUGAAGAGUUUGCCUGACAAGCCGAGAGGUGGUGCAUGGCCGCCGUCAGCUCGUGCUGUGAAGUGUCCAGCUAAGCCUGGCAACGAGCGAGACCUGUAUUUGCAAUUGCUAACAGCAACAUGUUGGACUGAGCACUUUGCAAAGACUGCCCUGGAAACAGGGAGGAAGGUGCAGGCUACGGUAGGUCUGUAUGCCCCGAAUCUUCUAGGCUACACGCGCGCAACAAUGGUAGGGACAAUGGGAUGCAACUCCGAAAGGAGAAGCUAAACCUCUAAACCCUAUCCAAGUCCAGAUCGAGGCUUGCAACUCAGCCUCGUGACGACGGAAUCCCUAGUAAUCAGAAGUCAUCAUCUUCUGGUGAAUAUGUCCCUGCUCCUUGCACACACCGCCCGUCAAAUCAACCGAGCAGGGUUUCGGUAAAACCUAGUUUUUUGAUUAGGCUGAAUCGGAGCUCAGUGAGGUGGGUUAAGUCGC
RNAcentral lists this ribosomal RNA (1413 nucleotides) under metagenome. Its description in RNAcentral is "bacterial SSU rRNA". It matches the Rfam family "Archaeal small subunit ribosomal RNA". The record is from RNAcentral.